Molecule: ribosomal RNA, 1402 nt
Filed under: metagenome
Description: SSU rRNA
Rfam family: Eukaryotic small subunit ribosomal RNA
Source: RNAcentral
GGUUCGACUCCGGAGAGGGAGCCUGAGAAACGGCUACCACAUCCAAGGAAGGCAGCAGGCGCGCAAAUUACCCACUCUCGGCACGAGGAGGUAGUGACGAAAAAUAACGAGACGGAUCUCUUUGAGGCCCGUUAUCGGAAUGAGAACAAUUCAAAUCCUAUAACGAGGAUCUAGCGGAGGGCAAGUCUGGUGCCAGCAGCCGCGGUAAUUCCAGCUCCGCAGGUGUAUAUCUAUGCUGCUGCGGUUAAAGAGCUCGUAGUUGGAUCUGCGUGCUCGGAACUGGUUGGCUCACUGAGUUCAAACUGGUCUCCGGCGCUUUAUUGGCUGGUUUUCCCUUGAUGCUCUUGACCGGGUGUCUUGGGUGGCCAGCACGUUUACUUUGAAAAAAUUAGAGUGCUCAAUACAGGCGUAAAGCCUUGAAUAGUGGUGCAUGGAAUAAUAGAAUAGGACCUCGGCUCUAUUUUGUUGGUUUUCGGAACGCGAGGUAAUGAUUAAGAGGGGCAGACGGGGGCAUUCGUAUUGCGACGUUAGAGGUGAAAUUCUUGGAUCGUCGCAAGACGGACGACUGCGAAAGCAUUUGCCAAGAAUGUUUUCAUUAAUCAAGAACGAAAGUUAGAGGUUCGAAGGCGAUCAGAUACCGCCCUAGUUCUAACCGUAAACGAUGCCAACUAGCGAUUCGCAGGCGUUAAACAACGACCUUGCGGGCAGCUUCCCGGAAACGAAAGUGUUCGGGUUCCGGGGGAAGUAUGGUUGCAAAGCUGAAACUUAAAGGAAUUGACGGAAGGGCACCACCAGGAGUGGAGCCUGCGGCUUAAUUUGACCCAACACGGGAAAACUCACCCGGCCCGGACACCGUAAGGAUUGACAGAUUGAGAGCUCUUUCUUGAUUCGGUGGGUGGUGGUGCAUGGCCGUUCUUAGUUGGUGGAGCGAUUUGUCUGGUUUAUUCCGAUAACGAACGAGACUCUGGCCUACUAAAUAGUGGGCGGAUUCUUUCUGUCCGCAACACUUCUUAGAGGGACAAGCGGUGUUCAGCCGCACGAGAUUGAGCAAUAACAGGUCUGUGAUGCCCUUAGAUGUCCGGGGCUGCACGCGCGCUACACUGAAGGAAUCAGCGUGCUUUCUGACCUUGCCCGAAAGGGCUGGGUAACCCGAUGAAAAUCCUUCGUGAUUGGGAUAGGGACUUGCAAUUAUUUCCCUUGAACGAGGAAUUCCCAGUAAGUGUGGGUCAUAAGCUCGCGUUGAUUACGUCCCUGCCCUUUGUACACACCGCCCGUCGCUGCCCGGAACUGAGCCGUUUCGAGAAGAACAGGGACCGUCGUUGAAGGGCCUUAACGGGCUUUUCUCUGAUAGAAACUGUUUUAAUCGCAGUGGCUUGAACCGGGCAAAAGUCGUAACAAGGUU